This 256-nucleotide ribosomal RNA is filed under the name uncultured bacterium. RNAcentral describes it as "partial 16S ribosomal RNA". It matches the Rfam family "Bacterial small subunit ribosomal RNA", at positions 524 to 776 of the family's 1533-position model. The record is from RNAcentral.
CACGUAGGGUGCGAGCGUUGUCCGGAAUUAUUGGGCGUAAAGAGCUCGUAGGCGGUUUGUCGCGUCUGCUGUGAAAACUGGAGGCUCAACCUCCAGCCUGCAGUGGGUACGGGCAGACUAGAGUGCGGUAGGGGGAGAUUGGAAUUCCUGGUGUAGCGGUGGAAUGCGCAGAUAUCAGGAGGAACACCGAUGGCGAAGGCAGAUCUCUGGGCCGUAACUGACGCUGAGGGAGCGAAAGCAUGGGGGAGCGAACAGG